RNAcentral lists this small RNA (27 nucleotides) under Bombyx mori (domestic silkworm). Its description in RNAcentral is "ovarian small RNA-31895". The record is from RNAcentral. Lineage: Eukaryota; Metazoa; Arthropoda; Insecta; Lepidoptera; Bombycidae.
UGACUAUAUAGGCCCAGUUUAUGUACU